This 965-nucleotide unclassified non-coding RNA is filed under the name Hevea brasiliensis (rubber tree). The record is from RNAcentral. Lineage: Eukaryota; Viridiplantae; Streptophyta; Magnoliopsida; Malpighiales; Euphorbiaceae.
CUGGGUAUUUCAGAAAACUAAAGAAGAGGGGGUGGGGUGUGGGUUGGGGGUGUUUGGUUACUAAUUUGAACCUGUUGUUGAAAUAUCUAAGAUUCCAUGCUCAAUGACUGAGUUAAGGCUUAAUUUGUGCUUGAAUAAUUUCUGAGGCUGUAAGCUCCAUCAACCACAACAUUCAAACCACUCACAAACUUAGAUUCCUCACUUCCAAGAUACAGAGCAGCCUCUGCUACAUCAUUAGCAUCUACAGGUACUCCUUUAAGAAUUGCAUCAGCCAUGCAUGUUUCUUGCAGAGUCUUCAUAUCCACACCUCCCAUUGCCUUGGAAGCUAAAGGGGUGGGAAUUCCUCCUGGCGAUAUGCAAUUAACUCUAAUUCCAUGCUUCCCCAAUUCCACUGCCAAGUUCUUAGUUAACCCAACAACUGCAUGCUUUGCUGCUGUGUAGGCAUGUGGAAUCCCACAAUAGCACACUGAAGCGAUACUUGCAGUGAACAAAAUACACCCUUUUUUUUGCGGGAUCAUUACUCUUGCUGCAUGUUUGGCUCCCAAGAAUCCACCAUACACAUUUAUGUCAAAAACUUUCUUGAAAUCUUCACGAUCUAUUGAUAAUAUGCUGGGAUCAUAUUUCCCUGUGAUUCCUGCAUUGUUGAACAUUAUGUCAAGCUUUCCGUGCAUUGAAACGGCUGUUUUCACUGCGUUUUCCACAUCUGAGUCUUUGGCUACAUCGCACUGCACGUAGGAGACUGGUUGCCCAGAUUCUGAUCGGAUUUCCUUGGACACAGAGUGACCCAAAUCGGAUUGGACAUCUGCAAUCACAACCUUGGCUCCUUGUCGAGCAAAGAGUCUUGCAGUGCUCUCGCCAAUCCCACUGGCUCCUCCUGUUAUCAAGGCUACCUUGCCUUCUAACCUUUUGGCGAAAUUAGUAGGUAGAGAGGAAGAGCCAGCCAUGAUCUCUUUUUUGCUUAUUAG